GUCGGAACAUCGACAUCGAGUGCCGUAUGCCAGUCCGGGUGCGGCGCGAGAGGGAACCCGGUGAGAAUCCGGGACUGUCCCGCAGCGGUAUGCAGGAACGACCGCCGUCACCAGCACUGGCCCCGACGGGCUGGGAAGCGACGGCCACUAGGUGCGCGAUCUCCUCGCGCGGGCCUGCGAGUCCGAAGACCUGCCAGCUGUACCGGACGCGC
Non-coding RNA from Mycobacterium sp. GA-1999, 212 nucleotides. The record is from Rfam. NCBI's taxonomy places the organism in Bacteria, Bacillati, Actinomycetota, Actinomycetes, Mycobacteriales, Mycobacteriaceae.